GCGUGCUUAACACAUGCAAGUCGAACGAUGACCCCGUGCUUGCACGGGUGAUUAGUGGCGAACGGGUGAGUAACACGUGAGUAACCUGCCCCCGACUUUGGGAUAAGCCCGGGAAACUGGGUCUAAUACCGGAUAUGACUUCUUACCGCAUGGUGGGUUGUUGAAAGAUUUAUCGGUGGGGGAUGGACUCGCGGCCUAUCAGCUUGUUGGUGAGGUAAUGGCUCACCAAGGCGACGACGGGUAGCCGGCCUGAGAGGGUGACCGGCCACACUGGGACUGAGACACGGCCCAGACUCCUACGGGAGGCAGCAGUGGGGAAUAUUGCACAAUGGGCGAAAGCCUGAUGCAGCGACGCCGCGUGAGGGAUGACGGCCUUCGGGUUGUAAACCUCUUUCAGUAGGGAAGAAGCGAAAGUGACGGUACCUGCAGAAGAAGCGCCGGCUAACUACGUGCCAGCAGCCGCGGUAAUACGUAGGGCGCAAGCGUUAUCCGGAUUUAUUGGGCGUAAAGAGCUCGUAGGCGGUUUGUCGCGUCUGCCGUGAAAGUCCGAGGCUCAACCUCGGAUCUGCGGUGGGUACGGGCAGACUAGAGUGAUGUAGGGGAGACUGGAAUUCCUGGUGUAGCGGUGAAAUGCGCAGAUAUCAGGAGGAACACCGAUGGCGAAGGCAGGUCUCUG
Molecule: ribosomal RNA, 676 nt
Filed under: Arthrobacter sp. GWS-BW-H86
Lineage: Bacteria; Bacillati; Actinomycetota; Actinomycetes; Micrococcales; Micrococcaceae
Description: bacterial SSU rRNA
Rfam family: Bacterial small subunit ribosomal RNA
Source: RNAcentral